UACGGAGGGUGCAAGCGUUAAUCGGAAUUACUGGGCGUAAAGCGCACGCAGGCGGUCUGUCAAGUCGGAUGUGAAAUCCCCGGGCUCAACCUGGGAACUGCAUUUGAAACUGGCAGGCUAGAGUCUUGUAGAGGGGGGUAGAAUUCCAGGUGUAGCGGUGAAAUGCGUAGAGAUCUGGAGGAAUACCGGUGGCGAAGGCGGCCCCCUGGACAAAGACUGACGCUCAGGUGCGAAAGCGUGGGGAGCAAACAGG
Molecule: ribosomal RNA, 253 nt
Filed under: uncultured bacterium
Lineage: Bacteria
Description: partial 16S ribosomal RNA
Rfam family: Bacterial small subunit ribosomal RNA
Source: RNAcentral